CAGCAGCCACGGGAAUACGUAGGUGGCGAGCGUUGUCCGGAUUUAUUGGGCGUAAAGGGAGUGUAGGCGGUCUUUUAAGUCUGAUGUGAAAGCCCACGGCUCAACCGUGGAGGGUCAUCGGAAACUGGGAGACUUGAGUGCAGAAGAGGAGAGCGGAAUUCCAUGUGUAGCGGUGAAAUGCGUAGAUAUAUGGAGGAACACCAGUGGCGAAGGCGACUCUCUGGUCUGUAACUGACGCUGAGGAGCGAAAGCGUGGGGAGCGAACAGGAUUAGAUACCCCAGUAGUCCCUGUCUUUAUACA
RNAcentral lists this ribosomal RNA (301 nucleotides) under uncultured bacterium. Its description in RNAcentral is "partial 16S ribosomal RNA". It matches the Rfam family "Bacterial small subunit ribosomal RNA", at positions 509 to 809 of the family's 1533-position model. The record is from RNAcentral.